This 320-nucleotide ribosomal RNA is filed under the name uncultured Prevotella sp. Its description in RNAcentral is "bacterial SSU rRNA". It matches the Rfam family "Bacterial small subunit ribosomal RNA", at positions 28 to 339 of the family's 1533-position model. The record is from RNAcentral. Lineage: Bacteria; Pseudomonadati; Bacteroidota; Bacteroidia; Bacteroidales; Prevotellaceae.
GAUGAACGCUAGCUACAGGCUUAACACAUGCAAGUCGAGGGGCAUCAUGGGAGUUGCUUGCAACUUCUGAUGGCGACCGGCGCACGGGUGAGUAACGCGUAUCCAACCUUCCCCUUAGUAGGGCAUAGCCCGGCGAAAGUCGGAUUAAUACCCUAUGUUUUCCGUCGAUGACAUCAGAAGUGGAAUAAAGAUUUAUCGCUAAGGGAUGGGGAUGCGUCUGAUUAGGUUGAUGGCGGGGUAACGGCCCACCAUGCCGACGAUCAGUAGGGGUUCUGAGAGGAAGGUCCCCCACAUUGGUACUGAGACACGGACCAAACUCC